Molecule: ribosomal RNA, 424 nt
Filed under: uncultured bacterium
Lineage: Bacteria
Description: bacterial SSU rRNA
Rfam family: Bacterial small subunit ribosomal RNA
Source: RNAcentral
UGGGGAAUCUUGCACAAUGGAGGAAACUCUGAUGCAGCGACGCCGCGUGAGCGAUGAAGCCCUUCGGGGUGUAAAGCUCUUUCGGCAGGGACGAUAAUGACGGUACCUGAAGAAGAAGCUGCGGCUAACUACGUGCCAGCAGCCGCGGUAAUACGUAGGCAGCAAGCGUUGUUCGGAAUUACUGGGCGUAAAGAGUGUGUAGGCGGUUUUCUAAGUUUGGUGUGAAAUCUCCCGGCUUAACUGGGAGGGUGCGCCGAAAACUGGAAGGCUUGAGUGCCGGAGAGGAUAGCGGAAUUCCUGGUGUAGCGGUGAAAUGCGUAGAUAUCAGGAGGAACACCUGCGGUGUAGACGGCUAUCUGGACGGCCACUGACGCUGAGACACGAAAGCGUGGGUAGCAAACAGGAUUAGAUACCCCCGUAGUCC